GUGGUGACGGCUACUCUUUUUCGCAUAUCAGAAACAACAAUAUAAAACAAAAAUAUAUGUAAUAAGAAAAUGAGAAGAAACCACGUCAUAGGGCCAGAAAUUCACAGCACACAGUCCUACACACCUAUGAACACAUAAAUAUAGAAGGCAAAUGUAAGUCGCACCUCAACGAGUUUGUAAACAGUCACAAACACACACCUGCGGCCGUGAUGUAGACUGCGAUGAGCAUAUAAACAGAUGAGGAAUUGCACAGGGUUAAAAUAAUGCACGCACAGAAUACAAAAAAGUAUAACACGUUGCCUGUCAUCCUGGACUGAAGCAUUUUGCUAUAAAAGUAGGAGGUUUACGCCACACUGAAUGAAGCACAAAAAACUGAACUUCAGCUUUGGCUGAUAAAUUCUUUUAGUUGCUAAUAGUGCUGUAUAAGGCUUGUGGAGUUUUAGCACGAGGCUUUUUGAUCACCAUCUUCGAAAACAGAAAAAAAGGAAAGAAAGCUCAGAUUUCGAAAGCAGAAUAUUCAUCCAUGGAAAAAAGAAUUAGGUGUAGAACAAGAAAAAAAAAAAACGCAGCCCACACUCCACACAUAGGUAUAAAAGAAAACUGUCAUUCAGGGGUCUAACGCAAUAUAUGCAUUUAUUCGCUAGCUUGUUUUCCCUAAAAGAAAUAGAAACAAUAACAUCUUAUGAGCUUCCCUCCCAAAUGUCCUGAAUCGCGCUCUGAGUUGUCGAUAGGUUUGGUUUAGUACGCACAUAGGGAGGGGGGGGAGGGGGCGCUUAAUUUUGAUCAGCGGGACGGGAGCGGAUUGGUGCCGGAGUUUAACGUGUUCCACCGACAUAAAUAAUUAAACUGCAUUAAGCUUCGUAUUUUACCGCUACAUGAGGCAAAAUAACAAGCCAAUAGAAUGCUCUCAAGAUAUCCUUUAAGCAUGGAAGCUACCCUUACCCCAGCGAUUACCGUUAAGCCUGACUUUAGUGCAACUGUGUUCAAUGCCAUAGUAUUCUACACUUUCAUGAGUCAGCGUUGAUAUCCUUUCUCGUAUUCGAAAUUGCACCUUGCUCGAUUUCAUAUCAAGGACAUAUUUCCCCACGUUUUCAGAAAGCGCCCUAACCAAAUGUAAAAAAAAAAAAAAAAGGGGGGGGGGGGGUCGGGGAAGAAAGGUAAAAGCGUAUCCUAUGUCCACGUUCGUCACCCUCCACUCCAGACAGUUUCUUGUAAUCACAAUGUACAACAUGAAGCUCGAGCAAUAGUUUCGCUAAGAAGCCAUCAUCAGUAGAUUCAGAGACGGCCGUUGCUCCUAUCAAUUGCAAUUAAAGAAGAGAGAGAGAGAAAGAGACGGAGAGAGAGAGAGAGAGAGAGAGAAACGGAGAGAAGUGAAAUGGGAAAGGCAGUUAUGUUAACUGGAAGAUAAGCUUCUGUGUUUGCUACCCUACAGUGGGGGAAAGGUAUGGGGGAAUACGAAAAGAAUAGCGCAGAACGAAAUCAAAAGCAAGAAAUAUAUUAAGAAAGCGAGAGAGCAUUAUUUCGCGUGUUUUCGCGCGAACAGCGUCAGAAACCCUUUGCAAUGUAAUAGCAGUCGGAGAAAUUCAGUUUAUAGUUAGCACAAAGCAAUUAUUUACAGCUGUAUUCCACGAAUGUGCGUUGCCGCAAUCCGCUGUUUGUGCGUGCGUCACACGCGCAUGCACAGCCACAACGAGAAAAUGCUCGCGUCAUCACGCACUACGUCGCCCAUUCGCGCUACCAUCUCUCGUUUGCCAGUUUCUCGCGUGCACAAGACUCCCUUUCACAACGCAGUUGACCGCGGCAAAUAGCGCACACGGGGAACACCUUUGGCGUACAUGUGGUGACCUGCGUGACAACGAGUGGCAAUGAUUGCCAGAUCGGAAGCAAAGGAAGGCCGGCCAUGCAAUCACCUCAGCCCCGAAGCCACGAGCGAUAUGUGACGCUGAUGACGAAGGUGCCUACACGGCAUGCGGCCACCAGCGGGUGCCAAAACAAGUAUAGAAAAGAAAAAGCACUGAACCUUCGGUGCCUACCACAAUGAGGCAAUAUAUAGACAUAAAUAUACAUAUAGACAGUAAAAGAUGCUGAAGAAACAAAUGAAACGGAUUUUAGCCUACA
This is a long non-coding RNA of Dermacentor andersoni, 2118 nucleotides long. RefSeq lists it as uncharacterized. Lineage: Eukaryota; Metazoa; Arthropoda; Arachnida; Ixodida; Ixodidae. The record is from RefSeq and is a predicted model, not a curated record.